GACGAACGCUGGCGGCGUGCUUAACACAUGCAAGUCGAACGGUGAUGCCCCAGCUUGCUGGAGUGGAUCAGUGGCGAACGGGUGAGUAACACGUGAGCAACCUGCCCCAGACUCUGGAAUAAGCGCUGGAAACGGCGUCUAAUACUGGAUACGAAACUGGCCCGCAUGGGCAGGGCGUGGAAAGUUUGUCGGUUUGGGAUGGGCUCGCGGCCUAUCAGCUUGUUGGUGAGGUAAUGGCUCACCAAGGCGACGACGGGUAGCCGGCCUGGGAGGGCGACCGGCCACGCUAGGCCUGGACCGCGGCCCAGACUCCUACGGGAGGCAGCAGUGGGGUAUAUUGCACAAUGGGCGGAACCCUGAUGCAGCGACGCCGCGUGAGGGAUGACGGCCUUCGGGUUGUAAACCUCUUUCAGCAGGGAAGAAGCGAAAGUGACGGUACCUGCAGAAGAAGCACCGGCUAACUACGUG
RNAcentral lists this ribosomal RNA (468 nucleotides) under uncultured bacterium. Its description in RNAcentral is "partial 16S ribosomal RNA". It matches the Rfam family "Bacterial small subunit ribosomal RNA", at positions 28 to 507 of the family's 1533-position model. The record is from RNAcentral.